UACGAGGGGAGCAAGCGUUGUUCGGAUUUACUGGGCGUAAAGGGCGCGUAGGCGGCGUGACUAGUCACUUGUGAAAUCUCCGGGCUUAACUCGGAACGGUCAAGUGAUACUGUCGUGCUAGAGUACAGAAGGGGCAACUGGAAUUCUCGGUGUAGCGGUGAAAUGCGUAGAUAUCAGGAGGAAUACCGAUGGCGAAGGCAGGUCUCUGGGCUGACACUGACGCUCAUGCACGAAAGCGUGGGGAGCAAACAGG
Molecule: ribosomal RNA, 253 nt
Filed under: uncultured bacterium
Lineage: Bacteria
Description: partial 16S ribosomal RNA
Rfam family: Bacterial small subunit ribosomal RNA
Source: RNAcentral